ACAGCCUUUAUAAUACCCUGCAGCAACCAGGUCAGAAAUAAACAGGGAAGCUGAUGGCACUCACUUUAUUUACUCCAGCGACCAAGGCUGGAUCAAACCAUCCAUAUGUCCACCAGGCAAAGGUUUGAUGUGAGCUUGUUAAAUUGGAGCCUCCUAUGGAAGGAAUGACAACAGAGCUGAGUGAAUCAAAACUCUCUUCCCCACGAAGCGCCUCAAUGGUUAAAGGUACUCCUAACAGCUAUAGUUUAUGGCAGGCAAGGAUGUAGUAUCCAAGGAGGGACUUGCAGAAUCCUAAUUCUGAGUGACCAGUGACAACAAUAAUCCCCAUUUCUCAUAAGGUUGGAUGAGGUGGUCCACCCCUGUAAUUUCAGCAUUUU
Long non-coding RNA from Cebus imitator (Panamanian white-faced capuchin), 377 nucleotides. RefSeq lists it as uncharacterized. The record is from RefSeq and is a predicted model, not a curated record. The transcript is spliced from 3 exons. Lineage: Eukaryota; Metazoa; Chordata; Mammalia; Primates; Cebidae.